This 499-nucleotide ribosomal RNA is filed under the name uncultured bacterium. RNAcentral describes it as "bacterial SSU rRNA". It matches the Rfam family "Bacterial small subunit ribosomal RNA", at positions 29 to 517 of the family's 1533-position model. The record is from RNAcentral.
AGUGAACGCUGGCGGCAGGCCUAAUACAUGCAAGUCGAACGGCAGCACAGUGGAGCUUGCUCCAUGGGUGGCGAGUGGCGGACGGGUGAGGAAUACAUGGGAAUCUGCCCAGUCGUGGGGAUAACGUAUGGAAACGUACGCUAAUACCGCAUGCGCCCUUCGGGGGAAAGUCGGGGGACCGCAAGGCCUGACGCGAUUGGAUGAGCCCAUGUUCGAUUAGCUAGUUGGCGGGGUAACGGCCCACCAAGGCGACGAUCGAUAGCUGGUCUGAGAGGAUGAUCAGCCACACUGGAGCUGAGACACGGUCCAGACUCCUACGGGAGGCAGCAGUAGGGAAUAUUGGACAAUGGGGGCAACCCUGAUCCAGCCAUGCCGCGUGAGUGAAGAAGGCCCUCGGGUUGUAAAGCUCUUUUGUUGGGGAAGAAAAGCAGUUGGUUAAUACCCGAUUGUUCUGACGGUACCCAAAGAUAAGCACCGGCUAACUUCGUGCCAGCAGCCG